Molecule: RNA transcript, 4022 nt
Organism: Synchiropus splendidus (mandarinfish)
Lineage: Eukaryota; Metazoa; Chordata; Actinopteri; Syngnathiformes; Callionymidae
Gene name: serine/threonine-protein kinase LMTK2-like
Exons: 6
Source: RefSeq, a predicted model, not a curated record
GCAGUUUCCAGAUGUUCACGCAACACUCACAGAGAGUGAAGAAGCUCACUAGACUGAUGAGGCCAAGCAGAGGGUUCUGUCAUCGAGAGCCUGAUGCAUGACAGUUUAAUAGAGACCAGAAGUUGACUAUACAAACUGUCUUUCAGAAUAAAUUUACUCACCAAAUGAUUCUCUUCUAAUUCAUGUUCCGACCCCUUAUCAUGAACUAAAGUAAUAAACCUCACCAGAUGAAGUGCUAAGCAAAACAAAAUAAUGUGAUAAUUAUCAUGGAAUAAUGUGAUAAAUAUCUUGAUACAAUGUGAUACUGAUCCAAAAAUAGUCUUAGCAUCCAGGCAGCUCUGAGCGUCCGUUCAGCACAGCGUUUAAUAUGUUGGACAGAUUAUUUCAGGGCCAAACAUUUUUCUUAAAUGAAUGCCAUCCUCACUGUAACAUUUGUCACUGUGGUAUCAAUGAGAGUCCUGAAGUGCUCUCCUAAUGGAACCGUCAUUGUCCAUCUAUAUAUCAAAUACCAUGGUUUCCAGACUUGUGAGCACCUGAAUAUUAGCUGCAACCAAUGCGUAUAAGAAGAAAAUGAAUGAUGAAGAAAAUUUUGUACACACUUUUGAUAAAUAGGCUGCAGGUGCAGCGUGGGAAUCUAUGCCAUAAAGAGCUCAGUAUUUUCUGUGCGCCAGCUUAAAAAUGCUUUAGGAUACAUAGCAUCAUUCCGGUGUCCAACAAUGAGCCUGAUGAUGAAGACACACUCAGAGAUGUUCUGAAUGCAUGCCAUAAUGGCAGUAUAAUUCAACUCACCCCAUCAGAUCGAUGAAAUUACAGGCGUUUUAUUUACCUUAAUGUCCUGCUUUCGCUCGUGUUCCUGGCACAUUCCACCACCUUCCUGGAGCUCCGCCGCCACAGCAAGUCUCAGCUGGAACACAGGAGCAGUAGUGGAUUACAAACAGAAGAAAACAGCGCUUUGACCACGUAAUGUCAAUAAAAACAUAGUCACAGCACAGCGUUGUCUCACCACCUUCUGCACAGCUGCUCUACUGUUUGCCAUUACAGCGGAUCAGAUAUUGAUCCAUGCGGCGGCAGGAAGGCCGGCAGCCUGCAGGAGCUUUUCUUCUGGGGACUGAUUGUUAUGCAAGAAAUAGAAGGGCAGAAGAGCUUCUCUAUUCCUCUAGUUGGAUGAACCGAUGAGCCCUUGGGAAAUAUUUGGGUUCAAAAUCCAGGGCAGUUUAAUCACAGAUGGUUGCAACAUGGACACCAACAAGAAUAUCAUCACCAUUGACAACAGAAUCAUCUUCUUCCCUGACAAGAGCAAAGCAAAGGAAUGCUUCAGCGACUACUGGUGGACGUGCCCUGGCAACAUUUUGUGCAACAGUAGCAUCAACCUGCCCUCUGAUCUGGAAAGUGCACCCCAAAAGUGGAGCAAAAUAGCUGGUGAUACAAAAAAAUUUCAGAGCAAAGAGGCAGCAAUGAAAGAAUUCAACUCACAGACCGGAGACAGUCGUCUGAAGUCGUGUGAGAAGCCCAAACAAGCAGAGAAACUAUCCCGCAGGAGCAAAAGAAGGAGGUCGGUGUCCUUUGUCGACGACGUCAUGGUCUUCGUGUUCGAUCAGGAAUGUCCCACCAUGGAGCUCCAGGGUGAUUCCUGCACAAACUCUCCUCCUCCAUGCAGCUGGGCGGAAGAUUGUGGUCUGGAGUGGGAAGAUGACUUCUCCGCGCUGGAAAGGAGCAGUCGUCUUCAGCCAGUAUCCCAGCACCACAGCGUUUCACCAGCCACAAAGACCUGGACUCUUCUAUCAGAGCGUCUGUUCCUACCCCAAAACUGCCUCUGCCUCACCCACGUUAGCGAAGCUGACCUGGAGCUGUGAGCGGAGGGGUAAAUGACACAGACGUGGUGGAUUCAGUCUGACGCAGCAGUGGCCGACUUCUGCCUCACUGUGACGUCCACACUUGUUGUGCUUCCAGACGGACAGCCUUGGCCUCAUGGAAAAUCCAGCUGCGCCUCUAAUUCACCCCCUCCUCUUUUAUGAUGACUCAGAGAUUUAAGUGGAUGUUUUUCUCUCAAACCACCUGCUGCUUAUGACAUGGCAUCCAAGUCCCAUUCGUAUGACAUUACUGCUGACUGGAAUGUCAAUAAGAAAUCAAUUGCAAAAGAGCUCCGGGAACUUUCCAACUGCACUGAAAAAGCUCUUUGGAUUCUGAUGUAGACCAACAUGGGGGUGUCGAAAUAAAUGUAUGAUUACACAACAUUAAACCCUAAAUUCCAUAAACCAGGUUUAUUUCAUUAAAAAAAAACGUUCAAGUCAAGGACCCGGCAUGUUUGCUUCAUUGCUCAGGUCCUGAAUUUAUCAGGAGUUCUGCCUAAAUAAACAGCGACAGCCUGAGGGAAGACAGAACUGUACUAGCUAAAGCUAACAGAUAAAGUUUUCCACAGAGGCAUUGAACAAGAUACUCAGGACCUGUAUGGAGUUCAAAACUAUUUGUUUGUACUGUAAAACUAUUUACAGCUAAAACAGUUUAAACAUUGCUGCCAUAUUUGCAUGAAUUAAUAUAAAAUGUGUCACAUUAUCUCUUUUUUAAAAAUAACAUUUCUUAGAUUCUCACCGACAUGUGCAGAAUGCCAGCUGGUCUAAAACUAAAAAAAAAUAACAGACGAAGUUAAUGUGCUACCUGUCUCUAAGUACAUGGUGGAUAAAUUACUUUACUUCUUAGAUUUGCUUCAAACUAAAAUGCAUGAAUGUUUAUACAUCAUUUAUAUUGAAAAGAAAAUGACCGUCUCAGUAUUACCUGUAAUUCCGCACCAAUACAGAUCUUUCAGAUAAGACAUAUGGAGACCUUUUGUGCUAAACAAAAUGCCUUGUAUUGUCUGCCUGUUUUUUUUUUUUAAUUAUUAUUAUUUGAAGUUGGCAUCCGACAGGUUUGAAAUGUUCAUAGGGCUUACUGGACAGGGUUAUAUUGGUGCCUCCAUCAAAAAUUGGAUGAUGCCCACAGACUAAAGUGAGGUGUUUUCUCUCUGUCUCUCUCACACACACAUUUGUAUCUCUGUCCUUGCUCUCUGUCAUUGUCAUAACCCUUUCUAAACCCAACCAUCCAAAACAAAUGGAUCACCUUAACCAGGACUCUCAACCAAAGUAAAACCCAAUUAUAAUGAGCCAGUUGUUUUGAAAUGUUCAUCCUCAAAUUGAAGCUUUACCAUGUGGGGACAUGUAAAAAUAGACAGGCACACACAAAAAUGGUCGUUUUACUAUCUUAGUGAGGACUAUCAUUGCCAUAAUGCUUUCCCCAGCCUCCUCCUUAAACCUGGCCAUCCAAAACACUUGGCUCACCUUAACCAAGGCCUAAACCAAACUUAAACUCAAGUUAUUUUGAAGUUUUAAUCCACAAAGCUGAGGCUUUACCUCGUGGGGACCGACAAAGGUCCUCACAAAUAGCCAAAGGUCCCCACAAGGAGGUGUGUUUCAAAGUAUCGCUCCUCACAAGUGUAGCUGAAAAGAGGCACACACAAGACCCUGGAAGGCACCGUUACCGGUCCACAACAAGAAUCAUCUGGUCAGAAUGUAAAUAACUUGAAUGGUCAUGCCUUUUUACGUUGAGCCUGGAGGAAGAUAUUCAAAUGAGGACACUGAUAAGGACAUUAUGUCAACUGUAGAGAGGGGAAAGGCUAUAACAGCAGUGUUUAUUUUACAAAGUCUCCAUCUGAUCUCCACCCUAAGAUCAUGGUAAAGGAUUUCGAGGCAAUGGUGAAAUGCUGCUUGAUGAUUCAACACGAAGCCUCCCACCUCCUCUUUUAUCUCUUUCUUGAGGAAUAUUUCUUUCGUUUUUUGUUAAUAUUGUAUCUAAUGUCCAGAUUUGGAGGCUCUGACUCUCAUUUGUGCCACUGCUUCUAACUAAAAGUUACAGCCCCCUUCUCAGACCAGUGUCUUGAAACAUGUCAUAUAAAAACUGUGUUACUGUUUUGAAUGAUGCACUUUGAACUAGUUUCUAGUUCUAGUUUCUACUAGUUUCUGUUUGAGAAACAGUUCCUAAAAUAAGUUUUG